CAUAAGAUGACUGAAUGUAAGUAAUGGAAUUUUAAACCAUAAAAUAAUAGAUUAACACCUAUUUCUUAUG
Molecule: transfer RNA, 70 nt
Filed under: Cortodera humeralis
Lineage: Eukaryota; Metazoa; Arthropoda; Insecta; Coleoptera; Cerambycidae
Description: tRNA-Lys
Source: RNAcentral